GCCUGGCUGGCUCAGUGGGUGGAGCGUGGACUCUUGAUCUCAGGGGGUUGUGGGUUCGAGCCCCACGUUGGGUG
Molecule: transfer RNA, 74 nt
Filed under: Ailuropoda melanoleuca (giant panda)
Lineage: Eukaryota; Metazoa; Chordata; Mammalia; Carnivora; Ursidae
Rfam family: tRNA
About the family: Transfer RNA (tRNA) molecules are approximately 80 nucleotides in length.
Source: Rfam by way of RNAcentral